AUUCUGCCCAUACGGGGAAGGAUGAGAACCUUCGACUAAGGUUCGACUCGAGCGUCAGCGAGAGAGCGUUGCCGCAGGCAACGACCCGAAGGGCGAAGCGCGCAGCGCUGAGUAAUCCUUCCCCCACCACCA
RNAcentral lists this small RNA (132 nucleotides) under Escherichia sp. E2562. RNAcentral describes it as "RtT sRNA". It matches the Rfam family "RtT RNA". Rfam says of the family: This family represents a bacterial cis-regulatory element known as RtT RNA. The exact function of RtT is unknown although it is thought that it may be involved in changing the cellular response in relation to amino acid starvation. Lineage: Bacteria; Pseudomonadati; Pseudomonadota; Gammaproteobacteria; Enterobacterales; Enterobacteriaceae. The record is from RNAcentral.